GAUCCUGGCUCAGAUUGAACGCUGGCGGCAUGCUUUACACAUGCAAGUCGAGGGGCAUCAGGGUGUAGCAAUACACCGCUGGCGACCGGCGCACGGGUGAGUAACACGUAUCCAACCUGCCCUUUACUCGGGGAUAGCCUUUCGAAAGAAAGAUUAAUACCCGAUGGCAUAACAUGACCUCCUGGUUUUGUUAUUAAAGAAUUUCGGUAGAGGAUGGGGAUGCGUUCCAUUAGGCAGUUGGCGGGGUAACCGG
RNAcentral lists this ribosomal RNA (253 nucleotides) under uncultured bacterium. RNAcentral's name for it is "partial 16S ribosomal RNA". It matches the Rfam family "Bacterial small subunit ribosomal RNA", at positions 15 to 263 of the family's 1533-position model. The record is from RNAcentral.